AAGACGAGAAGACCCCGUGAAGUUAGAAAUUUAAGUUAUUGGGAAGUUCCAAGGCUAUUUGUAGCCGAAUCGUUGAGGAGCACUAGAACUUAGUGUUUCAGAAGGGGUGAAUAAUAGCAGUUUUGGCUGGGGCAGCAAAGGAGCAAAGCUAGACUCCUUUAGGGUGUAAAACAGAUGUGUUACGACCCACAAACAUUAAGGUGUGAUUAUCAGAAGAAGUUACUCCGGGGAUAACAGCGUAAUCUGUCUUGAUAGUUCUUAUAGAUGGGCGGGUUUGCGACCUCGAUGUUG
This 291-nucleotide ribosomal RNA is filed under the name Pecten maximus. Its description in RNAcentral is "partial 16S ribosomal RNA". Lineage: Eukaryota; Metazoa; Mollusca; Bivalvia; Pectinida; Pectinidae. The record is from RNAcentral.